This is a long non-coding RNA of Triticum aestivum (bread wheat), 1058 nucleotides long. RefSeq lists it as uncharacterized. NCBI's taxonomy places the organism in Eukaryota, Viridiplantae, Streptophyta, Magnoliopsida, Poales, Poaceae. The transcript has 3 exons. The record is from RefSeq and is a predicted model, not a curated record.
ACCUUACAUGUGAAUUGUUACAGUAUAAUGAAGGGAACGAUGUAUAUACAGCUAAGGCAGUCUCUUCCUUCUUACUGGACAAAUAAAUCUUCAGCUGAACACUACCCAGAAUGUCUAGAUGCAUCACAGAUCACACUGCAGAGAGUCAAGAUGAAGAAAACAUGUGUUGUGCUUGUCCACAUCGGUUACUGGUUAGUUUAUUACAACUCCAGCUCAGCUAAACUUUAAAAAUGGACAAGUAGCUUGAUGGAUCAGCUCUAUUAUUUCCUCCUUGACCUGCUGUUUGAGGAUUUCUGCCUCCUCCCAUUCUCUUGCAACACAACAUUAUUAGCUCCUACCAUCUGCUUGUUCUGCAACCUUGCGUCGUCUCUCCGCCGGCUCCUACAACUCUCCUUCUCACUUCUCCAUCUGUACCAUACAGGAUGCAGAUAUUGCCAUAUGGUGGUACUUUAAUGAGCAUUUAGUGGACUUUCUUGUGCCGCCUUUCCUGCACACAUGAGUUUACAGUUAACAUUUUCGUUAAAGAUAGUUUUUGCACGCACCCUGCAAAGUGGGAAAGGUACCAGUGCAUAUUAUAUUAUGAACCAGUGCCAAAUCUAGAGUAUUCUACGGAAGAGUCAGAGUACGAGUACGAGGAAGAAGAGUCAGAGUACGGGGAAGAAGAACCAGAUCAUUAUGAAGAAAAGCCAUCACCAAUUCACCAGGCGAGAUUGGGUGGCCUGGGCUCAGAAGAAGCAUCUCCAUAUGAUCUUAGUAGAAAAGGUUUAUCCAGUUAAGUGUUUAUUUGGGCAAAAGCCGGUCAACUAUGUUGUUCACACAAAGCAUGAGGAAGAAAUCAUAGUGAUGGUCGGCUAUUCGGCUCAGUUGAUCAACAUCCAAAGAAAUGGCACCAUUACUUGAUGGUUGGUCAUGCCGGCUCGUCUAUGCUUGCCACCUGCUGCCACCGAGCAGCCCAAACAUCUUUUCAUUUGUCUAGUGUCUUCCCUUGUGGACCCAAUUAAUAUAACGAUUUAGCACACUCGCAUUGUGACGUUGCCAAUGUUGUUUUUAUCGUGAUU